Molecule: ribosomal RNA, 2921 nt
Filed under: Lactiplantibacillus plantarum
Lineage: Bacteria; Bacillati; Bacillota; Bacilli; Lactobacillales; Lactobacillaceae
Also listed under: 13 other names
Description: bacterial LSU rRNA
Rfam family: Bacterial large subunit ribosomal RNA
Source: RNAcentral
GGUUAAGUUAACAAGGGCGCAUGGUGAAUGCCUUGGCACUAGGAGCCGAUGAAGGACGGGACUAACACCGAUAUGCUUCGGGGAGCUGUACGUAAGCUAUGAUCCGGAGAUUUCCGAAUGGGGCAACCCAGCAGUUUUAAUCAACUGUUACCACUAGAUGAAUUCAUAGUCUAGUUGGAGGUAAACGCUGUGAACUGAAACAUCUCAUUAGCAGCAGGAAUAUAAAGAAAUUUCGAUUCCCUAAGUAGCGGCGAGCGAACGGGGAACAGCCCAAACCAAAGUGCUUGCACUUUGGGGUUGUAGGACUGAACAUUUGAGUUACCAAAGAACUUGAUAGUCGAAGGAUUUGGGAAAAUCCGCCAUAGAUGGUGAUAGCCCAGUAGAUUAAAUCAAAUUCUCUCAGUUCAGGAUCCUGAGUACGGCGGAACACGUGAAAUUCCGUCGGAAUCCGGGAGGACCAUCUCCCAAGGCUAAAUACUACCUAGUGACCGAUAGUGAACCAGUACCGUGAGGGAAAGGUGAAAAGCACCCCGGGAGGGGAGUGAAAUAGUUCCUGAAACCAUGUGCCUACAAUAAGUCAGAGCGCGUUAAUGCGUGAUGGCGUGCCUUUUGUAGAAUGAACCGGCGAGUUAUGAUCCCGUGCAAGGUUAAGACUAAAAAGUCGGAGCCGUAGCGAAAGCGAGUCUGAAAUGGGCGUUUUGAGUACGAGGUUAUAGACCCGAAACCAGGUGACCUAUCCAUGUCCAGGUUGAAGGUGCGGUAAAACGCACUGGAGGACCGAACCCGUGUAAGUUGAAAAUUGCUGGGAUGAGGUGUGGAUAGCGGUGAAAUUCCAAACGAACUUGGAGAUAGCUGGUUCUCUCCGAAAUAGCUUUAGGGCUAGCCUCGGAAUUAGGAUCAUGGAGGUAGAGCACUAUUUGGACUAGGGGCCCGUCUUGGGUUACUGAAUUCAGAUAAACUCCGAAUGCCAUUGAUUCAUAUCCGGGAGUCAGACGAUGAGUGAUAAGAUCCACCGUCGAAAGGGGAACAGCCCAGACCAUCAGUUAAGGUCCCUAAAUGUAUGCUAAGUGGAAAAGGAUGUGGAGUUGCAUAGACAACUAGGAUGUUGGCUCAGAAGCAGCCACCAUUUAAAGAGUGCGUAAUAGCUCACUAGUCGAGUGAUCCUGCGCCGAAAAUGUACCGGGGCUAAGCAUACUACCGAAACCAUGGAUGCGACCAUUAGGUCGCGUGAUAGGAGAGCGUUCUAAGGGCGGUGAAGCAAGAUCGUGAGGACUUGUGGAGCGCUUAGAAGUGAGAAUGCCGGUAUGAGUAGCGAAAGAUAGGUGAGAAUCCUAUCCACCGAAUGACUAAGGUUUCCUGGGGAAGGCUCGUCCUCCCAGGGUUAGUCGGGACCUAAGUCGAGGCCGAGAGGCGUAGACGAUGGAUAACAGGUUGAGAUUCCUGUACUAGUUAAGUGCGUUUGAGCAAUGGAGGGACGCAGGAGGCUAAGAUGUGCAUUCUGUUGGAUUAGAAUGUCCAAGCAGUAAGUCUUGUGAAGAGUCAAAUGCUUUUCACUUUAAGGACAAGCUGUGAUGGGGAGCGAAAUUUAGUAGCGAAGCGUCUGAUGUCACACUGCCGAGAAAAGCUUCUAGUGAGUACUUAACUACCCGUACCGCAAACCGACACAGGUAGUCGAGGAGAGAAUCCUAAGGUGAGCGAGUGAACUCUCGUUAAGGAACUCGGCAAAAUGACCCCGUAACUUCGGGAGAAGGGGUGCUGAUCGCAAGAUCAGCCGCAGUGAAUAGGCCCAGGCGACUGUUUAUCAAAAACACAGGUCUCUGCAAAAUCGUAAGAUGACGUAUAGGGGCUGACGCCUGCCCGGUGCUGGAAGGUUAAAAGGAUGGGUUAGCUUCGGCGAAGCUCAGAAUUGAAGCCCCAGUAAACGGCGGCCGUAACUAUAACGGUCCUAAGGUAGCGAAAUUCCUUGUCGGGUAAGUUCCGACCCGCACGAAAGGCGUAACGAUCUGGGCACUGUCUCAACGAGAGACUCGGUGAAAUUAUAUUGUCCGUGAAGAUGCGGACUACCCGCGACAGGACGGAAAGACCCCAUGGAGCUUUACUGUAGCUUGAUAUUGAGUGUUUGUACAGCUUGUACAGGAUAGGUAGGAGCCAUAGAAACCGGAACGCUAGUUUCGGUGGAGGCGUUGGUGGGAUACUACCCUCGCUGUAUGACCACUCUAACCCGCACCACUAAUCGUGGUGGGAGACAGUGUCAGGUGGGCAGUUUGACUGGGGCGGUCGCCUCCUAAAAAGUAACGGAGGCGCCCAAAGGUUCCCUCAGAAUGGUUGGAAAUCAUUCGCAGAGUGUAAAGGCACAAGGGAGCUUGACUGCGAGACAGACAGGUCGAGCAGGGACGAAAGUCGGGCUUAGUGAUCCGGUGGUACCGUAUGGAAGGGCCAUCGCUCAACGGAUAAAAGCUACCCUGGGGAUAACAGGCUUAUCUCCCCCAAGAGUCCACAUCGACGGGGAGGUUUGGCACCUCGAUGUCGGCUCAUCGCAUCCUGGGGCUGUAGUCGGUCCCAAGGGUUGGGCUGUUCGCCCAUUAAAGCGGUACGCGAGCUGGGUUCAGAACGUCGUGAGACAGUUCGGUCCCUAUCCGUCGCGGGCGUAGGAAAUUUGAGAGGACCUGUCCUUAGUACGAGAGGACCGGGAUGGACAUACCUCUGGUGUACCAGUUGUGCCGCCAGGCGCAUCGCUGGGUAGCUACGUAUGGAUGUGAUAAACGCUGAAAGCAUCUAAGUGUGAAACACACCUCGAGAUGAGAUUUCCCAUUCCUUUAUGGAAGUAAGACCCCUGAAAGAUGAUCAGGUAGAUAGGUUAGAAGUGGCAGUGCGGUGACGCAUGAAGCGGACUAAUACUAAUCGGUCGAGGACUUAACCAA